RNAcentral lists this ribosomal RNA (143 nucleotides) under Zoarces viviparus (viviparous blenny). RNAcentral describes it as "partial small subunit ribosomal RNA". It matches the Rfam family "Bacterial small subunit ribosomal RNA", at positions 770 to 946 of the family's 1533-position model. The record is from RNAcentral. Lineage: Eukaryota; Metazoa; Chordata; Actinopteri; Perciformes; Zoarcidae.
AACUGGGAUUAGAUACCCCACUAUGCCCAGCCCUAAACAUUGAUAGUAUUCUACACCCGCUAUCCGCCUGGGAACUACGAGCAUCAGCUUAAAACCCAAAGGACUUGGCGGUGCUUUAGACCCACCUAGAGGAGCCUGUUCUA